This 496-nucleotide ribosomal RNA is filed under the name uncultured bacterium. RNAcentral describes it as "partial 16S ribosomal RNA". It matches the Rfam family "Bacterial small subunit ribosomal RNA", at positions 28 to 506 of the family's 1533-position model. The record is from RNAcentral.
GACGAACGCUGGCGGCGUGCCUAAUACAUGCAAGUUGAGCGCUGAAGGUUGGUACUUGUACCAACUGGAUGAGCAGCGAACGGGUGAGUAACGCGUGGGGAAUCUGCCUUUGAGCGGGGGACAACAUUUGGAAACGAAUGCUAAUACCGCAUAAAAACUUUAAACACAAGUUUUAAGUUUGAAAGAUGCAAUUGCAUCACUCAAAGAUGAUCCCGCGUUGUAUUAGCUAGUUGGUGAGGUAAAGGCUCACCAAGGCGAUGAUACAUCGCCGACCUGAGAGGGUGAUCGGCCACAUUGGGACUGAGACACGGCCCAAACUCCUACGGGAGGCAGCAGUAGGGAAUCUUCGGCAAUGGACGAAAGUCUGACCGAGCAACGCCGCGUAAGUGAAGAAGGUUUUCGGAUCGUAAAACUCUGUUGGUAGAGAAGAACGUUGGUGAGAGUGGAAAGCUCAUCAAGUGACUGGAACUACCCAGAAAGGGACGGCUAACUACGU